CUUCAACUGGUGAAUAGCCCGAAGAAAUUCGGAUUAAUACACCAUAGUAUAUAGAGAUGGCAUCAUUUUUAUAUUAAAACUCCGGUGGUUGAAGAUGAGCAUGCGUGACAUUAGCUAGUUGGUAAGGUAAUGGCUUACCAAGGCUACGAUGUCUAGGGGAUCUGAGAGGAUUAACCCCCACACUGGUACUGAGACACGGACCAGACUCCUACGGGAGGCAGCAGUAAGGAAUAUUGGACAAUGGUCGCAAGACUGAUCCAGCCAUGCCGCGUGCAGGAUGACAGCCCUAUGGGUCGUAAACUGCUUUUGUGCGAGAAAAAACCACUCUACGUGUAGAGUGCUGAUUGUAUCGUAAGAAUAAGGAUCGGCUAACUCCGUGCCAGCAGCCGCGGUAAUACGGAGGAUCCAAGCGUUAUCCGGAUUCAUUGGGUUUAAAGGGUGCGUAGGCGGAAUGAUAAGUCAGUGGUGAAAGCCUGCAGCUUAACUGCAGAACUGCCAUUGAUACUGUCAAUCUUGAGUACAUUUGAUGUGGGCGGAAUGUGUCAUGUAGCGGUGAAAUGCUUAGAUAUGACACAGAACACCGAUUGCGAAGGCAGCUCACAAAACUGUAACUGACGCUG
This 620-nucleotide ribosomal RNA is filed under the name uncultured bacterium. RNAcentral describes it as "bacterial SSU rRNA". It matches the Rfam family "Bacterial small subunit ribosomal RNA", at positions 130 to 748 of the family's 1533-position model. The record is from RNAcentral.